CUACGUGCCAGCAGCCGCGGUAAUACGUAGGUGGCAAGCGUUGUCCGGAAUUAUUGGGCGUAAAGCGCGCGCAGGCGGAUCAGUUAGUCUGUCUUAAAAGUUCGGGGCUUAACCCCGUGAUGGGAUGGAAACUGCUGAUCUAGAGUAUCGGAGAGGAAAGUGGAAUUCCUAGUGUAGCGGUGAAAUGCGUAGAUAUUAGGAAGAACACCAGUGGCGAAGGCGACUUUCUGGACGAAAACUGACGCUGAGGCGCGAAAGCCAGGGGAGCGAACGGGAUUAGAUACCCCGGUAGUCCUGGCCGUAAACGAUGGGUACUAGGUGUAGGAGGUAUCGACCCCUUCUGUGCCGGAGUUAACGCAAUAAGUACCCCGCCUGGGGAGUACGACCGCAAGGUUGAAACUCAAAGGAAUUGACGGGGGCCCGCACAAGCGGUGGAGUAUGUGGUUUAAUUCGAUGCAACGCGAAGAACCUUACCUACUCU
RNAcentral lists this ribosomal RNA (481 nucleotides) under uncultured bacterium. RNAcentral describes it as "bacterial SSU rRNA". It matches the Rfam family "Bacterial small subunit ribosomal RNA", at positions 501 to 981 of the family's 1533-position model. The record is from RNAcentral.